Molecule: long non-coding RNA, 704 nt
Organism: Tripterygium wilfordii
Lineage: Eukaryota; Viridiplantae; Streptophyta; Magnoliopsida; Celastrales; Celastraceae
Exons: 4
Source: RefSeq, a predicted model, not a curated record
UCAAAGAACCAUUUUCUUUGAGAUUUUUCUUGAACAAGUGAGAAGAUGAACAGUGGAUGAUGGGUGGCUUGGGUAGUGAAUCCGGCUUGGUCAAAAUAGUUUGAAGCUUAUAAUUGUUGUAUCUACAACUGGGUUUACUCUUAUGAAGUGUUGGAAGGACGAUUUGAAGUAUGAGGGUUUGAGAAACUCUUUAAGAGACUAGGGCCGUGCUCAAGAAUGUUCUUGAAAGGAAAUUGAAGAUUUGUGUUUACUAAGGUAAGGGCUUUAAUAGCAUUGUAAAUUUGAAUUUGAGAUUUAAUGUGGGAGCUAAUAUGAGAUUAUUCCAGGUAUAUGAGCUACUGGAACUUUUGUUGAAGUUGGAGAUUUGGUGGAAAUACGCACGGCGAAUCCGGUGAAUUAAAAAAAAUCAUCAAGGAGGCAAGGAAAGUAAUAAAGCUUUCAAGGAUAUAGCUCAUCCAGUAGAGCCAGGUCUGCCUACAGCCAGAUAGACUUUCAACCUCCUUAUUCUGGUGAGCCUAGCACAUAUAGUGCGGGUGUGAUUAUAUAUUAUUUUGGACUCAUGUAUUACCGUUAUUUUAUCGUCUCUAGAUGCUCUGUUAACUAUAGAUAAGAUAUAAUGAUAUGUAAGGCCAUGGGCCAGACGGACGGUGUUGUAGUUAUUUCCAUGUCACGUAUAUUUUGUUUCUUUGAUUAUAAUAUUGCCA